GCUGACGAGCGGCGGACGGGUGAGUAAUGCCUAGGGAUCUGCCCAGUCGAGGGGGAUAACAGUUGGAAACGACUGCUAAUACCGCAUACGCCCUACGGGGGAAAGGAGGGGACCUUCGGGCCUUUCGCGAUUGGAUGAACCUAGGUGGGAUUAGCUAGUUGGUGAGGUAAUGGCUCACCAAGGCGACGAUCCCUAGCUGUUCUGAGAGGAUGAUCAGCCACACUGGGACUGAGACACGGCCCAGACUCCUACGGGAGGCAGCAGUGGGGAAUAUUGCACAAUGGGGGAAACCCUGAUGCAGCCAUGCCGCGUGUGUGAAGAAGGCCUUCGGGUUGUAAAGCACUUUCAGUUGUGAGGAAAGGGUGUUGCUUAAUACGUAACAUCUGUGACGUUAGCAACAGAAGAAGGACCGGCUAACUCCGUGCCAGCAGCCGCGGUAAUACGGAGGGUCCGAGCGUUAAUCGGAAUUACUG
RNAcentral lists this ribosomal RNA (473 nucleotides) under Shewanella sp. ONE-3. RNAcentral's name for it is "bacterial SSU rRNA". It matches the Rfam family "Bacterial small subunit ribosomal RNA", at positions 87 to 556 of the family's 1533-position model. The record is from RNAcentral. Lineage: Bacteria; Pseudomonadati; Pseudomonadota; Gammaproteobacteria; Alteromonadales; Shewanellaceae.